This 503-nucleotide unclassified non-coding RNA is filed under the name Hevea brasiliensis (rubber tree). The record is from RNAcentral. Lineage: Eukaryota; Viridiplantae; Streptophyta; Magnoliopsida; Malpighiales; Euphorbiaceae.
AAAAAAAAAAAAAAAAAGUUUCCUAGGCACGUCAACAUCAGAAUAGGGAGGGGCAUGAGAGUAUAUUGUAACUGUGGCCCACCAAAAAGAACGCGCGGACAGAUAAGGUUUAAUAAGAAUCUGAAGUUGGAAGUGGAAUGCAGGUGCAGAAACAAUGCUCUAUAAAUGAAUUGUGCCAAUUAGAAUUCUGAGGCACAAUGAUUUGCUUGGCCUGUGAAUUCCUACAUAAAGGAAGUGGAGGAGAUUGUCACCUUCAACAAUUUCUUUUUAUAGGAAUUAAGAAAAGAAGACAGAGACAAAAUGAGGAGGAAGUGGAGGAGCUCUUAAUUGACUUAAACGGGAGAUGUAGUUAGAGAACCAUUAAGUAAAACAACAAAAAGCUGUCUAAGGUAACAAGGUAUAGAUUAGCAUGAAACGCAAAAACAACGAACUCAGAAACGUCAGGCUGCUUUAAGUCACAUGACACAAUAGCAUACAACAAAAAGAAUCUGGCAUAGUCUAUU